GCUGGCGGCNUGCUUANNCNUGCAAGUCGAACGGUAACAGGAGAGAGCUUGCUCUCUUGCUGACGAGUGGCGGACGGGUGAGUAAUACAUGGGAAUCUGCCCUGAGGUGGGGGAUAACCCGGGGAAACUCGGGCUAAUACCGCAUGAUCUCUUCGGAGCAAAGUGGGGGACCUUCGGGCCUCACGCCUUGGGAUGAGCCCAUGUCUGAUUAGCUAGUUGGUGGGGUAAAGGCCUACCAAGGCAACGAUCAGUAGCCGGCCUGAGAGGGUGUACGGCCACACUGGGACUGAGACACGGCCCAGACUCCUACGGGAGGCAGCAGUGGGGAAUAUUGGACAAUGGGGGCAACCCUGAUCCAGCAAUGCCGCGUGUGUGAAGAAGGCCUGCGGGUUGUAAAGCACUUUUAUCGGGGAAGAAUAGGUUGUCGUUAAUAGCGCCAACACUUGACAUUACCCGUUGAAUAAGCACCGGCUAACUCCGUGCCAGCAGCCGCGGUAAUACGGAGGGUGCGAGCGUUAAUCGGAAUUACUGGGCGUAAAGGGUGCGUAGGCGGAAGCUUAAGUCUGAUGUGAAAGCCCCGGGCUUAACCUGGGAAUGGCAUUGGAAANNNGGGNUUUCUAGAGUGUGGUAGAGGAUAGUGGAAUUUCCAGUGUAGCGGUGAAAUGCGUAGAUAUUGGAAAGAACACCGAUGGCGAANCAGCUAUCUGGGCCAACACUGACGCUGAGGUACGAAAGCGUGGGGAGCAACAGGAUUAGAUACCCUGGUAGU
Molecule: ribosomal RNA, 769 nt
Filed under: uncultured bacterium
Lineage: Bacteria
Description: bacterial SSU rRNA
Rfam family: Bacterial small subunit ribosomal RNA
Source: RNAcentral